GGCCUUGAUUCCAGCGACGGCCCGCGUGAGGGACGAAGCCUUUCGGGGGUUGUAACCUCUGUGUGAGGGACGAAUAAGAUCUGGAGGGAAAUGCCAGAUCGAUGACGGUACCUCACGAGAAAGCCCGGGCUAAACUACGUGCCAGCAGCCGCGGUAAUACGUAGGGGGGCGAGCGUUACCCGGAUUCACUGGGCGUAAAGGGGGCGCAGGCGAUCCAGUAUGUCGGGUGUGAAAUCCCACAGCUCAACUGUGGAAUUGCGCCCGAAACUACUGGGUUUGGGGCUGGUAGAGGGAGACGGAACUGCUGGUGUAGGGGUGAAAUCCGUAGAUAUCAGCAGGAACGCCGGUGGGGAAGCCGGUCUCCUGGGCCAAGCCCGACGCUGAGGCCCGAAAGCUAGGGGAGCAAACCGGAUUAGAUACCCGGGUAGUCCUAGCCGUAAACGAUGCCCACUAGGUGUGGGGGAGUCAUUCCUCCGUGCUGUAGCUAACGCGUUAAGUGGGCCGCCUGGGGAGUACGCCCGCAAGGGUGAAACUCAAAGGAAUUGGCGGGACUCCGCACAAGCGGUGGAGCGUGUGGUUUAAUUGGAUGCUAAGCCAAGAACCUUACCAGGGCUUGACAUGCAGGUGGUACCAACCCGAAAGGGAAGGGACCCUUUCCUUUUGGAAAGGGAGCCUGCACAGGUGGUGCACGGCCGUCGUCAGCUCGUGCCGUGAGGUGUUGGGUUAAGUCCCGCAACGAGCGCAACCCCUGCCCUUAGUUGCCAGCGGUUCGGCCGGGCACUCUAAGGGGACCGCCGGCGACGAGCCGGAGGAAGGAGGGGACGACGUCAGGUACUCGUGCCCUUUAUGCCCUGGGCUACACACGCGCUACAAUGGGUGGUACAGUGGGUCGCGACCUCGCGAGAGGGAGCCAAUCCCCAAAACCAUCCUCAGUUCAGAUCGCAGGCUGCAACCCGCCUGCGUGAAGCCGGAAUCGCUAGUAAUCGCGGAUCAGCCAUGCCGCGGUGAAUACGUUCCCGGGGUU
This 1024-nucleotide ribosomal RNA is filed under the name Thermotoga sp. enrichment culture. RNAcentral describes it as "bacterial SSU rRNA". It matches the Rfam family "Bacterial small subunit ribosomal RNA", at positions 379 to 1381 of the family's 1533-position model. The record is from RNAcentral. Lineage: Bacteria; Thermotogati; Thermotogota; Thermotogae; Thermotogales; Thermotogaceae.